Odocoileus virginianus texanus is the source of this 805-nucleotide long non-coding RNA. RefSeq lists it as uncharacterized. The record is from RefSeq and is a predicted model, not a curated record. Lineage: Eukaryota; Metazoa; Chordata; Mammalia; Artiodactyla; Cervidae.
GCAACCUUACCUUGCCAUUCACACAAGAAGGGCCCUGUGCCCGUGCCCCGUGCCCUGGGAGACGGGGCCGCCACGUGACCCGACGAGCGUUUCUCCACCACACGUGCUGCAGCGGCCUUCGCUCCAUCCUCACGCUGGACGCUGCCUUCUGAGUCUCGGGGGCCGGCCCCGCACGCACCAGGAGGACAGCUGGCCUUCACCCGGAAGACACUGACGCCUGGGCACGCGUUUCUUCUCAGGUGGCCACUUUCCUCGGCUCUGAGCAUCUUUCUCUGGUCCAGAUUCCAAACUUCUGACCAUUCGCUCAGGGACUGAGAUAAAAUGAACUUUAUAAUGUAUUGGAUCAGACGCCCGCUGACAGCGCCAGGGUCCCCACCCUCCAGCAAGUCUCCCCGGACAGCCUUGGGCCACACGCUGUCCCCUGGCGGACGGAGGUCACGGAAGAGUUCCUGGCUCUCCAGGUGCCUGUAACAGCCCAGGACUCAUAACUAAUUCAGAAGACACUGGCCCAGUUGCCCGAGUCAGCUCAGGGACAGCACCUCCUGGAAAAAGAUGACCUCACUCAACCGCUGGAGCUUCUUUGCAGAGAGAUGACGUGGGAGACGGUGAUCCUCCCAGCAAACGGGAGCGCUUGUCGAGGCAAGUGAACCCAGGACAGCCAAACCUGCCCUGUGGGUGGAGAAAGGCUUACGCUGAGGUACCGGACAGCCAGGGAGAGCCGCCUGAGACCAAGCUCGAGCGCACGGAGUCCCUUGAAAGCCUCUUUCAGAUGUAAGGCGAGGACAGAUUGUUUGAAUAAAACUUG